GGACUACGUGGGUAUCUAAUCCGGUUCGUGCCCCUAGCUUUCGUCCCUUGCCGUCAGGUCCGUUCUGGUGAGACGCCUUCGCCACUGGUGGUCCUUCAAGGAUUACAAGAUUUCACCCCUACCCCUGAAGUACCUCUCACCUCUCCCGGCCUCGAGCCAGACAGUAUCUCCUGAAAGCCCAACAGUUGAGCUGCUGGAUUUCUCAAGAGACUUAUCCGGCCGGCUACAGACCCUUUAGACCCAAUAAUAACGGUUACCACUCGAGCCGCCGGUGUUACCGCGGCGGCUGGCACCGGUCUUGCCCGGCCCUUGCUAUGCAAUGCUUUUUAGGCAUCACGACAGCCAGAUUUGUAACCUGGCACUCGAGGUCCCCUUAUCGCCGUUGCCGGCAUUGUAAAGUUUUCGCGCCUGCUGCACCCCGUAGG
RNAcentral lists this ribosomal RNA (425 nucleotides) under uncultured Methanosaeta sp. RNAcentral describes it as "partial 16S ribosomal RNA". The record is from RNAcentral. Lineage: Archaea; Methanobacteriati; Methanobacteriota; Methanomicrobia; Methanotrichales; Methanotrichaceae.